This 406-nucleotide ribosomal RNA is filed under the name uncultured bacterium. RNAcentral describes it as "partial 16S ribosomal RNA". It matches the Rfam family "Bacterial small subunit ribosomal RNA", at positions 30 to 526 of the family's 1533-position model. The record is from RNAcentral.
AUUGAACGCUGGCGGCAGGCCUAACACAUGCAAGUCGAACGAGUGGCGGACGGGUGAGUAAUGUCUGGGCAACUGCCCGAUGGAGGGGGAUAACUACUGGAAACGGUAGCUAAUACCGCAUACCCUCGGAUGUGCCCAGAUGGGAUUAGCUAGUUGGUGAGGUAACGGCUCACCACGGCCACGAUGCCUAGCCGACCUGAGAGGGUGAUCGGCCACACGGGAACUGGGAAACGGUCCAGACUCCUACGGGAGGCAGCAGUGGGGAAUAUUGCACAAUGGGCGCAAGCCUGAGGCAGCCAUGCCGCGUGUAUGAAGAAGGCCUUCGGGUUGUAAAGUACUUUCAGCGAGGAGGCGUUACUCGCAGAAGAAGCAACGGCUAACUCCGUGCCAGCAGCCGCGGUAAUUC